RNAcentral lists this ribosomal RNA (225 nucleotides) under Vibrio parahaemolyticus. RNAcentral describes it as "partial 16S ribosomal RNA". It matches the Rfam family "Bacterial small subunit ribosomal RNA", at positions 1318 to 1533 of the family's 1533-position model. Lineage: Bacteria; Pseudomonadati; Pseudomonadota; Gammaproteobacteria; Vibrionales; Vibrionaceae. The record is from RNAcentral.
CCAUGAAGUCGGAAUGGCAUGUAAUCGUGGAUCAGAAUGCCACGGCGAAUACGUUACCGGGCCUUGUACACACCGCCCGUCACAUCAUGGGAGGGGGCUGCACCAGCAGUAGGUAUUUUUACCUUCGGGGGGACGCUUACCCCUUUGUGGUUCAUGGCUGGGGUGAAGUCGUAACAAGGUAGCGCUAGGGGAACCGGGCGCUGGAUCACCUCCUGAAACGAUGAU